Molecule: ribosomal RNA, 487 nt
Filed under: uncultured bacterium
Lineage: Bacteria
Description: bacterial SSU rRNA
Rfam family: Bacterial small subunit ribosomal RNA
Source: RNAcentral
CUACGUGCCAGCAGCCGCGGUAAUACGUAGGUCCCGAGCGUUGUCCGGAUUUAUUGGGCGUAAAGCGAGCGCAGGCGGUUAGAUAAGUCUGAAGUUAAAGGCUGUGGCUUAACCAUAGUACGCUUUGGAAACUGUUUAACUUGAGUGCAAGAGGGGAGAGUGGAAUUCCAUGUGUAGCGGUGAAAUGCGUAGAUAUAUGGAGGAACACCGGUGGCGAAAGCGGCUCUCUGGCUUGUAACUGACGCUGAGGCUCGAAAGCGUGGGGAGCAAACAGGAUUAGAUACCCUGGUAGUCCACSCCGUAAACGAUGAGUGCUAGGUGUUAGACCCUUUCCGGGGUUUAGUGCCGCAGCUAACGCAAUAAGUACCCCGCCUGGGGAGUACGACCGCAAGGUUGAAACUCAAAGGAAUUGACGGGGGCCCGCMCAAGCGGUGGAGUAUGUGGUUUAAUUCGACGCAACGCGAAGAACCUUACCAGGUCUUGACAU